UGUGGACGCCAGUCUGCAUGGAGCCGACCUUGAAAUACCACCCUUUAAUGUUUGAUGUUCUAACGUGGACCCGUGAUCCGGGUUGCGGACAGUGUCUGGUGGGUAGUUUGACUGGGGCGGUCUCCUCCUAAAGAGUAACGGAGGAGCACGAAGGUUGGCUAAUCCUGGUCGGACAUCAGGAGGUUAGUGCAAUGGCAUAAGCCAGCUUGACUGCGAGCGUGACGGCGCGAGCAGGUGCGAAAGCAGGUCAUAGUGAUCCGGUGGUUCUGAAUGGAAGGGCCAUCGCUCAACGGAUAAAAGGUACUCCGGGGAUAACAGGCUGAUACCGCCCAAGAGUUCAUAUCGACGGCGGUGUUUGGCACCUCGAUGUCGGCUCAUCACAUCCUGGGGCUGAAGUAGGUCCCAAGGGUAUGGCUGUUCGCCAUUUAAAGUGGUACGCGAGCUGGGUUUAGAACGUCGUGAGACAGUUCGGUCCCUAUCUGCCGUGGGCGCUGGAGAACUGAGGGGGGCUGCUCCUAGUACGAGAGGACCGGAGUGGACGCAUCACUGGUGUUCGGGUUGUCAUGCCAAUGGCACUGCCCGGUAGCUAAAUGCGGAAGAGAUAAGUGCUGAAAGCAUCUAAGCACGAAACUUGCC
Molecule: ribosomal RNA, 636 nt
Filed under: Escherichia coli
Lineage: Bacteria; Pseudomonadati; Pseudomonadota; Gammaproteobacteria; Enterobacterales; Enterobacteriaceae
Description: partial 23S ribosomal RNA
Rfam family: Bacterial large subunit ribosomal RNA
Source: RNAcentral